This is a long non-coding RNA of Arachis stenosperma, 154 nucleotides long. RefSeq lists it as uncharacterized. The record is from RefSeq and is a predicted model, not a curated record. The transcript is spliced from 3 exons. Lineage: Eukaryota; Viridiplantae; Streptophyta; Magnoliopsida; Fabales; Fabaceae.
GAGAGGAUCAAACCUGUGGCUGUAGUUCUGGGAUCAAGAGGCAGAAGCUUAAUUCAGAGUGUGCUACAGGGAAGUGUUGGAGAGUACUGCUUCCACCACUGCAAAGCAGCACCUGUUGUCAUCGUUCCUAGAAAAGAUGCUGGAGAUGCAUCAA